AGGGGGCAAGCGUUAUCCGGAUUCACUGGGCGUAAAGGGAGCGCAGGCGGCACGGCAAGUCUGGUGUGAAAGCACGGGGCCCAACCCCGGGACUGCACUGGAAACUGCCGGGCUGGAGUGCCGGAGGGGUAAGCGGAAUUCCUGGUGUAGCGGUGAAAUGCGCAGAUAUCAGGAGGAACACCGGUGGCGGAGGCGGCUUACUGGACGGCAACUGACGCUGAGGCUCGAAAGCGUGGGGAGCAA
RNAcentral lists this ribosomal RNA (243 nucleotides) under uncultured bacterium. RNAcentral describes it as "partial 16S ribosomal RNA". It matches the Rfam family "Bacterial small subunit ribosomal RNA", at positions 529 to 771 of the family's 1533-position model. The record is from RNAcentral.